UGUAUUUUGAAGUGUCUGGUUUUAUAUCCAAGGUUUCUCAGGAUUGGAGUUUGGGGAUCCUGGGAGUGUGUUUCAUGUGAAGAUCUUUUUCUUGGAGGAAAUUCAUCAUUAAUAGCUGGGUGGAUUCCGGUGCAGCUGAAGUGUCUGAUACCAAGGGGAAAAAAAAAAAGGCUAUAACCCAGCUCUCUACAGCAGUGCACUGAAUAGUGAUGUGUGAUGUGAAGCAAGGUGAGGGGAAUCAUGUUCACUUCACCACAGACACUAGAGCUUACAGUCAAGGAACAGUUUGCUGAUGUGUGUUAAUGAAUGCAACAGCAAGCUGAAUCUGAGGCAAAAGGACUGGCUAACGUGGUGAUGCCUGAGCCACCUCCAGAGAGGGCAAAACACAGUGCAGAUGUGAAAAAUGUAAUAAUAAAGGUGCUCAGGUACCAUGAAAAUGCAAAAAGAGGCAAAUAGUAUCUAGUCAGACAGAUGGCAUAUUUAAAAGUGAGAGGAGACAGAUGCUGAAGAAGCGCUUGUUUUCUUCCUUCCUCUGUGUAAAAUGGUAUAGCAAAAUCUACCUCUCCUUUCUACUUCCUUGUUUUUCAACUUCUCACCAUCCUCAGAAUACUUUAAAUUAUGAGAGCUGAGAAGGUAUAGUCUUUCAUAUAUGAUUCCCAUGUUUUGGGAAAUAAAAAAUUGACAGUUACCAGUACACGCCUUUGUCAGUAUCACCAACUAAGAAUAAUUUAGCCCUUCUGUUCCCUCAGAUCAAU
This is a long non-coding RNA of Neopsephotus bourkii (Bourke's parrot), 755 nucleotides long. RefSeq lists it as uncharacterized. Lineage: Eukaryota; Metazoa; Chordata; Aves; Psittaciformes; Psittacidae. The record is from RefSeq and is a predicted model, not a curated record. The transcript has 3 exons.